GAUGAAGAACGCAGUGAAAUGCGAUAAGUAAUGUGAAUUGCAGAAUUCAGUGAAUCAUCGAAUCUUUGAACGCACAUUGCGCCCGCCAGUAUUCUGGCGGGCAUGCCUGUUCGAGCGUCAUUUCAACCAUCAAGCCCCCGGGCUUGUGUUGGGGACCUGCGGCUGCCGCAGGCCCUGAAAACCAGUGGCGGGCUCGCUAGUCACUCCGAGCGUAGUAGUUACAUCUCGCUCAGGGCGUGCUGCGGGUUCCGUCCGUUAAAAGCCUUUUACCCCAAGGUUGACCUCGGAUCAGGUAGGAAGACCCGCUGAACUUAAGCAUAUCAAUAAGCGGAGGA
Molecule: unclassified non-coding RNA, 335 nt
Filed under: soil metagenome
Description: partial contains 5.8S ribosomal RNA, internal transcribed spacer 2, and large subunit ribosomal RNA
Rfam family: 5.8S ribosomal RNA (bases 1-120)
Source: RNAcentral